GAUGGGGACCGCUUGGACCACCCCAACCAGAGUGAGCUGCUCUGCUGCACAGCAGCUGAGUUGUGGCUCAGCUGCACAGCAAUGUGGCUUCUAGCAUAAGACCAUAAAUGCAUAUGAUUGUCUGCCCAGGGAAGUAAUUUGCUGCGUCAGAUUGUGGGAUGCUGAGAGAGAGGCGCUAAGCUUUAAACAGUUUUAGAAGCAGAUCUUCUGCUGGCAUAAAUCAGCCUUGUUCCAGCGCAAUGAUAACACUCAGAGCUGAGCUGUGCACGAUGCAACCGCAGAGCAGCGCUGCUCCCCACCUGCACCAGCGAGCAGCACCGCGAUGAUUGACUGCACGCAGCAACACAGACUAAAGGACAGGUGCUUAAAGAAAAGACUUUCAAAUGAGAGCACAGCCACCAAGUGAAUUCCCAAUGCACACAUAAAUAAAGCCAUAUUCCCCCCUCACACACACACACACAUACCCCAUACCAUGCAUUUUAAAUCUUCUUUAGCAAAGAAUGGAAACAAUGAACCUUCAAUCUUGGCUACCAGCACCAGUGGAAAGAGUAGGUAACUUGGGAAAGUAUGCUGCAUGGAAACGAGCCCCCAGCCCAUUGCUUUUAAUCACUGCUGCCUGCAUUAGCUCUGUGUGCUGCAGCUUCUCUCUC
Non-coding RNA from Coturnix japonica (Japanese quail), 650 nucleotides. The record is from RefSeq and is a predicted model, not a curated record. NCBI's taxonomy places the organism in Eukaryota, Metazoa, Chordata, Aves, Galliformes, Phasianidae.